This 253-nucleotide ribosomal RNA is filed under the name uncultured bacterium. RNAcentral describes it as "partial 16S ribosomal RNA". It matches the Rfam family "Bacterial small subunit ribosomal RNA", at positions 524 to 776 of the family's 1533-position model. The record is from RNAcentral.
GACGGAGGAUGCAAGCGUUAUCCGGAAUUAUUGGGCGUAAAGCGUCCGCAGGUGGCUGUUCAAGUCUGCUGUCAAAGCGCAGAGCCUAACUCUGUACAGGCGGUGGAAACUGAAGAGCUAGAGUAUGGUAGGGGUAGAGGGAAUUCCCGGUGUAGCGGUGAAAUGCGCAGAUAUCAGGAGGAACACCGAUAGCGAAGGCAGCUCGCUGGGACGGUACUGACGCUAAGGCGCGAAAGCGUGGGGAGCGAACAGG